RNAcentral lists this non-coding RNA (46 nucleotides) under Schistosoma mansoni. Lineage: Eukaryota; Metazoa; Platyhelminthes; Trematoda; Strigeidida; Schistosomatidae. The record is from RNAcentral.
GGACUACUGAGGAGUCCCACAAUAGGACGAAACGGCAGUCCAGUGA